Long non-coding RNA from Coturnix japonica (Japanese quail), 17993 nucleotides. RefSeq lists it as uncharacterized. The record is from RefSeq and is a predicted model, not a curated record. Lineage: Eukaryota; Metazoa; Chordata; Aves; Galliformes; Phasianidae.
CUCUGCUCAGUGUGACAGCAACAGGACCUAAGAGAAUGGCAUGGAGCUGCGUUGGGAUGGGUCAGGCUGGGAUUUAGGAAAAGGUUUUUCACCAGAGGGUGACUGGGUGCUGAAACAGGCUGCUCAGGGCAGUGGUCACAGCCUAAAGCCAGAGUUCAAGAAGCAUUUGGACAAUGUUCUCAGAAAUGUGGUCUAAAUUUUGGGUGGUCCUGUGUGGAGCCAGGAGUUGGACUCAGUAAUCCUUGCGGGUCCCUUCCAAUCCUGGAUAUUUUAUGAUUUUAGAUAUUUUCCCAGCAUGACACUAGGCUACAUUACAAGAAGGCUUCAGCUGGGUGUCUUCAGAUUGUAAAGUCAGUUAAGGUAGUGUUGGAAGAUCGAAAUAGUUGGAAGGAGCUGAACUACUGAUGGUCUCUCUUAUCCUUUCAGUAGGGAGCAGAGUAUGGGAUGAUUGUCAGCUGGACUGAGCCAGAUUUUAAUGCAUUUAUGUGGUGAUUGGGGGGACUGUGGGAGCAAGCCAGAAACCCACAUUACUUGUAGCACAGGUUCUCUGGGCCCUGGGUGCUUUGGGGUUCUCUGGGGAGUGGACAGAGCUCUGUAAGGGCAAGGAAACAGGAUCACUUGGGAAGUGGGAGUGCCUGCACAGCCAUAAGGUCAUGGGGCUGCCCAUGGCCAUCUGCUCUCUUGCCUGACCUGUUUGGCUCCCUUUGUUCAAAGUGAGCAUGAGUAGCAGCCGUGCCCUGCUCUCUGCCAGGCCAUGCAGGUGCUGCUCCAAAACCUUGACUGGAGAAAGAAUUAUGCAUUUACGGAAAGUCUUCUUCCCUCCCUUUCCUUUCCCUUUUAAGGCUCUUGGCCAAGCUAUGUGAUUCUUAUCUGGUCUCUGCAGAGCCUUUAAAUGAGGUCAUUCAGGAAGUUUAAUUAAUCCUGUGCAAUUGUCGCUACAUCCUUGGCUGCGCAUUGUGCUCGGGCCCAGCCCACUGCUACAAUACAGUUUGCGACAGCUGAACAUCUGUUAAAAAACUGAUUGCCAAGAAGUGCUUGCUAAGACUGGUUUUCCUUCUGCCUGCAUGUAUGUAUCUCAGUACAAUGUUGUGUAACGGCGUUAAGAGAAAAAGCAGAAUUUCCCUCUGCUCUUGGGAUCGACUCGUGAAGCAAACUAGAAUUAUCUGGGAAAUGAUGGUUCUGAAAUACCCAUGACAAGGAGACAAGCUUGCUUCCAUAUGUCCCAUUCAGCUCAUUUCUAAGGCUGGUGCCUUAUUUGAGUUGCUAUUUGCAAUGGUAGACAAGUACUGGAUCUGUGUGACUGAGACCUUGCAGACCUGGCAUAGCUGUACUGGUUUGAGAAUGACAGAGCCCCUUGUCUCCAGCACAAACCAGAGCUGUGCCAGCCAUGAUGUUCCCUGGCUAGUUUGGCAUGUGUGAUGAAUAAUGGAUGGGAAGAGCUAGGAUAGUAAAGGAGACUCUGAGUGUUUCGAGGUAAUAACCUGUGCUUCCAGUUUCCUGAGUGGUGCUACAUUUUGGUUCAGUAAUGAAAUCCAUUUUUCAUAGUUCGGCCUUUUUGAGUUGUCUGAUUGGUUUAACUCUUUGCAUUUAAAAGCAAAUAGUGGUUUUUGCUUUCUUUGAGGUUUUUGCAGAGUGAUUACACAGAUGGAUGAACAGCGAGGUGUAUUUCUGUGCGCAUAGCAUCUUCAGGAUUAUGAAUCCAGGCAUACUCAGAUAUAGCUUUGUAUGGGGCCAGUCAUUUAUUCAUGAGUCAGCAUAAUGGUUUAACUUAACUUCCUCAUUGUCCAAUAUUGGGCUGUCCUUUCUUGGUGCUACUGAAUAACAGAACUUAAAAUUUGCAACUUAUUAACUUUCUUAAUUUAUGUGUACGUAUUGUAAAUAUAGGCAAGUUGUAAGUGGUAAAUGGUUGAAGUAACCUGCAAUAUAUAAAGGUAGUGCUCAUAAUUAUGGUGUUUUUGCCACCUCAGAAGAACUGAGAUCUGUACUGACUUCAUUCACAGUUGCAUACAGUGCAGAACUGUCAGGGAGCUGAGCUUUCAGAUCGCUGUCUGUCUGCAUAAGCAAAGUGGAUGCCUGAGGAGGUGCCCUCAGGUGAAUUGCACAGCUGGUUUCUGCAGCAUAGAGUCACAAUUGUAUGAGCAGAGUCUGCUGAUGGGGAUGCUGUGUUUACAGGCAGGAGGAAUCUGUUUGCACUCUCACAGCAUCUCUCUGGGGGACAAAACCAAGCUCAUCAUCCCUCUAUGGAUGCCUUACUUAUUUUGGGCUUCAGACAUCCUACUGUAUGGACAGCUUCACACAAUUUUUUGGCUAGGAAACAUGUGAAAGCAAACUUGAAGGAGGGCGUAAAUACUAAGGAGGAUUAGAGGUGAUAUGUAACAUUAUCUUUCAAGGAGGAUUUAUUGAUGGCUUUCUAGACAGUAUUAUUCUGUCUAUAUUCUUCUCUAUAAAAUCCUCUCAAGUACACUUAUGAGACUGUAUGGGUUGCAUUUUAGGGUGUUUAUCCUUCUUAUUUUUGACACUGGCACACAUGUGACUAACUCUGAUUUUUGUGAAGAACUGUUUAGAGCUGAUAUAGUUGGUUAUGCUUUCUUCAUAGAGUAAUAGCUCCCCUGUUGUCCAUACCUCUACUAUGUAGCAAUUCUGGCAUUUUCAUGUUCCAUGCUUCUCGGAGCUGCUAAGCUUUCUUCUUUCUGAGUAUAAUGUAUAGUUUUAUAGUUUGUGAGAAGAUAGUAAACAGGGGAGAACUGCUUUCUGUGGGUGUAAUACGCCUCUUAUUUGUAUCAGAAAAUUUGAUUUCGUCUGACAAGGGGUAGAAUUUGAAGUCUGAGGCAGAUGGAAAAAGCGAUGUUUUUAAAGUUUAGGGAUCAAAUUCUGUUUUGACCUUGGAUCUCUCCUUUAUUCAGAUCUCAUGGUUCAAGCCAAAGGGAUUGUAAUGGAACAAAUACAGAAUAUACCCCCCUACCUCUGAAAUAAAUAACAGCUGGCACUGAUACGUAGAGUACCAUAUCACUUCAGAGGGCUUAGCAGAGACAUUAACUAAUUAAUCCAGUAGUGCUUUUACUUAAUGAGGUCUGAGUACCAGCAUGCUCACAGAAGAUGUCUGUUCUCAAAGCUGCCCUCAGAAGAAUACUGCAUUUUGUUUGGAGCACCACAUAUAGUAGUGCUUUAUUGAUUACUGCUUUUCUCCUACAGUGCCGUAGGGUUUGCAUGUAACAACAUGCUGGAAAACCAGCUUUGUGCUGUACAGUGUUAAGUGGCAAAAUACAAUAUGCUAGUAGGGGAACUUUACAUUUAAAUGGAGUUGAAAAUUCUGUGAAUCCUUACAGAAAUGAGGGAAAAAAAAAAAAAAAAAAGGAUGCCACUAAGAAAAACAUCAGUCCUGUGAAAAGUUAUGAGGUCUCAGGUGAGAUCAGUUUGUUGCACUACGUCAGGUAUGUCAGCUUGGCAUCUUGUCUGCUUGAAAUUUGGCUUGAUUUAGCCUAGCUUUUGUUCCAGGCUGGGUUUUUGUCCCUGUUUGGUGCUGCCCAGGCUUGAAGUGUUUGCUCUUUCCUGCACACAAAUCUUCUCAGCUCUGAAAAUCCCCAUCCAUGCCUUCCUGCUUGGAAGAGAGCUUUUUUCUGUUUGUAGCUUCAGACUUCAGCAGUCUCCUCCAAGCUACUUGAGAGCAAGAUGGAUGGCAACUUUUCACCAGACAAGUUAAAUGGCACAUCAGAUCAGCUGGGAUCCUGUUCAUUUAGCAGUUGAGGGUUGGUUUAUGAGGUUGAAGUGCCACUGACACACCUCAUGAUUUAUAGUUAUAAAAGUGUUUUUUUCUUUUCCGUCAUGGAACUGCUAAACCUUUUAGAGGCUUUAUAAAUGUGUAAUUUGGGGGGAGAUUGAUUAGAAAUGUUUCUGGAUGUAAGCAGCAUCACAUCUUCUGAAACUAUAUUAGCUGAUUACUGAUUACAUAUUUUGCUUAUUUCCUCUGGUCUCUCAUGUAGUGAAACCUCUAGAGAAAUUCUCAGAUACACAAAAUGUGUUGUCAGGUCUUGUUUUGACUUGAACAGCUUUGUUUUUAUUUUAUGGUUUUAGCAUUUGCCCUCGGUGACUUAGCGCCCAAGUUUACAGGAUGCAACAGGUCUUAAUUUCUCUCCCUAAUCCCUACUUCUUUUUGCUUGUUUGACAAUGAAUUUUUGCUGACUAAAUGUCAGUUCACAGUCACAUGCACCAGAAGAAGAAGAGGGGGGAAGAGCUGCUGCCUUUACAGUACAGGGCAGGGGGCAUUACUUGGUGUGCCAGGCCGCGUGCAGCCUGUGAGGUGCAGGUUGGACGUGCCCAAAGUCACAUACCCAUUUCUGCUAGCCUAACCUUCAUACCUCCUAGCCCUACUGGCUACCGUUUAUUUUGCCAUAAUUGCUCAAGGUGUGUUAGGAAUGAGAUUUCCAAAUGAAUAUUUGAAUGUAAGCGAACUUUGAAAGACACUGCUUCAUUUGCAUGUAUGGAGAGCUGUGCCUCCUGCCCCUUCAAACCACAGUCACCACCAACCAGAGGGCAGUGUUUCCCUGAUGAGCACACCUUUUUUGCAGGGUUGUGUGUUGGACAUGAGAACUGCCUAAACUGCUUAGCAUAAACAUAGUUUAAACCUUUGUGAGAGCUGUGGGUCCUUCCUCAUCUCUGUGCCAAAGGCCUUGAGAAGUUUUAAGGCAGCCCCAGUCUUGUACUCCGUGACCUGCCUUGGGAAGGAAGCAAAUUCCCGCCUGCUCUGCCCUCAUCCGGUUUGGAGCCAAAGAUGUCACUUCACCACAAAAGGAGAGAGGAAGGAGGAAGGGGGAAUGACCUCACUGGGCCACGGCAUAGAGCACAAAGGAUACGGGAACAGUUGGAAACGAGUUCAUGCUCUGGGAACUUCCCCAGCAUUUCUGAAGGCAUCGUCACUAUCUGCAACCAACCAGGCAACCUCCUGCCUGACACCCUUGUCUGCAUCCACUUACCCACCCGUGAGACUUCCAUGGACUAGUACCAGCUGCCUUUGCUGCCUCCUCCACGUGCACAGCCUUUGCUGUGACUGCGGGUGGUCAGGUGCCACUCAGGGUCUUUGGGAGCAGUUUGGGAUAUGACUAAGUCUUGGGGUAGUCACAGGUCUACCUACCUUGACUACUAAGAAAUGAAUGCUAGACUUAAAACAUUCAAUUUUUUUAAAGAACUUUCAAUCUGCUUUUAAUGUAGGAAAAAAAGAAAGGUUUGGUUUUGGUAUAGAUGUUAUCAGAACAAUAGGCUCUACAUCCAAAGGAAUUAGAAUCAAACAGCUAAUGGGUGAGCUACAGGCACAUGUAUGUGCUUUAGAUGUAAAGGAGAAUCAUCCUUUUGGAUACUUGCUGCCUAUUUCACACCUAUGGAUCUCCCAGUUUCCUUGAUUCUGUUAAACUUCCCUAGGGGUGUGAAUGUUGGCGGGCUAUAAGGUGUGCAAACACAAGAGAUGAGCUCAGUUUUAACUGGGGGGACAAGGAAUGGGAAACAAAAUUACCUUUUUUUCUUUUUCUCUACAGUAGUGAGCAGGUUUGGGUUUUAUUUUACCGGAACUAAUUAACUAGGAUAAUUGGAGGCUGAUUUGAGGUUGUCCUGCUUAUUCAUUAGUCAGCUGAUGGGAAUAAGAGCAGGGAGCCCAGGGAGCGGAAAGUCUUAUCAAAUUCUUUUGUAACAUCUCAAUUGGCCUGUCUCUAGCAGUGUGCAACAAAGUACAAUGACAGUAAGUAUGAAGAAAUAUGGUUGAUAAUCAAAGAAUCAUUUGUAGUCAUUUACAAAUUGCAGUUACUAAAUUUCUGGGAGUAGAGGGUCUGGCUUCUGUAAAUACUUAGAUAAAUUUAAGCACAGAUUCCAAGCAAUUUUUAUACUAUGAGACUGGAUACCUUAACUUGCAAUACUAGAGCUGCCUUUUUUCUUCCUCUAUCCCAACCCUUCCUUGCUGCAGAGGAAAAUUCUGUUUGAAGUCUCUGGACACGGGGCUUCAAAGAAAAAUUAUAACCUUAAACAUAAGUUCCUAUAACUUGAAUAGCCCUGUGUCUUCUCAAGGUGAUGAAUUCUAAUGCUAUUAUCACUAAAAGGAUGAUAAAAAAUAAUAAUGAGCUGUCACUCUCAUCAGCUCUUUUAGGGGAGUGAUGAAAUAAAUUGCAGAGUGAAGCAGUUAAAAAUUGAAGUGAGAAUACAUUUAUUAGUUUUUUAAAAUCAAUGCAUGCUCCAGAAAUGAGCAGCAAUAGGUCACGUAUUUUGGACUGAGAGCUCUUCUGAUAGAUUUCUAACCCUACUGAAUUGGAAUUUAAAUGUGAACAUGUCCGUGUCAGGCUCCAAUAGGUGCUGGUAACAGCUGUAAAGGAAUUGUUAAUGCUUGUCUUCAAACAUAAUAAAGAAUAUUCAGUAUUUUCCUAAACACUGAUGCAGAUCCUCCGUGGUUUGAUCCAUUGUCUAUUGAGGCUUCUCCUAAGUAGUGAUGGAGAAAGUCAAAACAAAUGCUCGAAGGCAUUCAUUCAUCAGCAAAAAUAUUUGGAGCAUAAGAAUCUUUUUCUAAGUUAAACCUAUUUCUAUCAAUAAGUGCUUUGAGGCUGCUCUUUUUUUCUAUUUUAAUCUCUAUACCAGAUUUUCCACUUAGAUUGUGUUAAAAGAUGGAAUUUUAUGUAGCCUUUCUCCUGGUCACAUUACUCUCUCCGUCAUCUUGUCUGACUUACAUGUAAGGUUGUAUACACUGGGCACCAGAAACCCUAUAUUUUGCUUCCAAUUUUGUUUAAGUCUCUGUUUAGUUGUGUUGAAAAUUCACAGAACCUCUAGAGAACUCCUGUGUUCUGGACUCUAUAUUUACAUUUGAAUGAAGGUAAAAUUGCAUGGGAAAUACUCAGGAAAAUAUGGCAUUUUCUAUGGCAGAGAAAAUGCCUUCGUCUGCUAGCUGCAGAAUCCCUGAUUAUUCUGUACUUUCCAUCUCUUUCUUUAGAGAUAUUAUCUGUGCUUAUAUAGCAUAUCUGUAGUAAGCUCCAGUCAGUGAUUUAUUCCCCACUAACUAUCAAAAAGGAAAGAUUAUAACAAGGUGCUGAUUGCUGAACUGUCCUGUUUGCUUCAUUACUGUGGUUUUGGAGAAAGCUGGGGGAGAAAGCCUGGGCGUAGGUGGCCUCAGGGUUGAUGCUCUUAAAAACAUCCUGGAAUGGAUAAAGGAGAGAGAGGGACUUUCAGUGCAGUUGGAAUUGGGUACAUACCCUGGCAAUAAGCUGUUGGUGCAGAUGGGUUUUCUGGGCUUUAGCACCUGUAGGACAUGCUUUCUUCAGCCUGAGAGGCCAGCAUGUGCUCCCAGCUCUCUCCUUGGAGCAAGCCAUGGUGCUGGCAAAAGGCUUGGAGGGGGUGCAAAGGAGAAAGCUCCUUCACAAGAUCUGCUAUCUGGCUGAUUGCAUGUAUACCUAUUUUUGCCAGCUCAGUGACUGCCUCAGUGCAGGCAUAAAACUAUAACUUGGGACCACAGUUGAAAGCCCAACUGCAGUAGUCUGUGUGGUGUUUCACCCUGAAGAUAUUUAGUAUUACUGAGAAAUAUUUACAGAAGCCACAGGGCCUCAGUUACCUAGGAAGAGGAGAACACUGGUGUUUUUUAUCAGAUGGCAAAUACUAAAGUGUGAAGAAAGGGUUUCAGGUUGUGCCAGAUAAGGUUUAGAUUGGACAUUAAGAAGAAUGUCUUCACUAAGAGGGUAGUGAAGCACUGGACUGGGCUGUCCAAAGAAGUGGUAGAGUCCUCAUUCCUGGAGGUGUUUAAGAAGUGGAUGUGGAAAUAAGGGAUGUGGUUUAGUGACAGGUAGGUUAGGUGGAUGGCUGGACUUGACCAUUCUGAAUGUCUUUUCUGGCCUAGAUGACUCUGAUUCUAUGUACAUAGGGCAUGAUUUCAACCCUGCUGAGCUACUGCAAGUAGAGAGAGGGAGUAGGUUUGUGGAGGAUUGUGUCAACACAAAUUGUGCCCACUGAAGGAUGAGGAGAGCCUCUGUUUGUUGCCAGCAUGGAUGAAUACAGGAGCUUUUCAGCUGCCAUCUGCUGAAGGUAGAAAUCUCAAUUUCGUUACCUUCGUGCUCACACCCCAGUGGUUCAAAAUCUGCUUCCCUAUGUGGACUUGAGUUUCUCCUCAGCGUGCAGUGGCCUGGAAAUAAAAAAGCAGCCAAUGGUAUUUCUUACUUCUAUGCAAAUUAACUACCUGAUUUUGCAGAUGCUCUCCAAGGCUAAAUUCUGAUGUUAAACCAAGGAAUGUGGGGGCAGAAGGCAAGAUCUUCUCUUUGGGCCUGGGGAGGUGGGAGAAGUGCUGUGUAAUGAGCCGAUGGAACAGUUCCCACAGUGUGGGUAGCCAUGGAGGGAAGAGGAGCCUGCUGAGUUUUUGACAGCUAUUUUGGGAACUGGCUGUUAUUUUAGUUGUCUUUAGCACAGCCCUGCCUCCCGUCUUGAACGAUCUGUUCCUUCACAACAGAAGGAGGAAGGGAUUGCUCUGCCUGGUAUGAAAAAUAUAUUUGAUACUAAGCUUUUUGGAGAUGAUAUUUUGAAUAGGGAAAACUACAAUGUAUAAUUUGGCUUAAAAUUAAAAAUGGUGGUUUUAGGUGUAAUUAAUUCUCCCUUUUCUUUGGCAUGAAGAUAUUUAAAUGUAUGUGUCAUCCAACUGGAACUGAUCUGGAGCUGUUCAGAGGAGAUCUACUACUGUUGUGCUGUCUAGCUGAUGCCUAGCAAUGCCUGAAGCCACACAACCCUGUCACAGCAUCAACUUUCCCUCUCUAAACAUGCCUGUUUUCAAACGUUUAUAUAACUGCUGCUUGGAAUUUCCUCCUGGCUGGUCAUCACUUGUCAGAUCUACUGAAACCAUGUCAGUAAAUCAGGAGAAAAAAUUUUUGUGCUGCCUAGAAUGUGACAGAUUUUCUUUGAGUAAUUUAUGUAUUUAUUUAUUUAUUUUAAGAGGAAACUGAAAACAUUUAUAGCUGAAGAUAUUGCCCAGAAAAGCAGUGGAAUCUGUGCCUUUGAAAGUUUUCAGGAUCCGAUGAGGCAAAACUAUGAGAAAUCUCAGCAGGAGGUUGUCUAGGUACCUCCUGAAGUCCAUUCCAACCUCUGUAGUUCUGUGAUUCUAUGAAGUGUGAACGCUGACAGUAUGAUGGUAAUGGAAUUUUGAAAAAAUCCUUAAAAAACACAGCGCUGGGGAUAACAAUACCUCUUCAAGAUUGGCAGUAUGUCAAAUGCUUGAAGUGAGAAGGGUUAUUUAUUUUCAACAUCCACGGCUUGUUGGAAGGAAAUUUUCCUUUGAUGGUAAUGCAGUUCUUCUGUCAAAGAAAUCUCACCAUGUUCUUUAUUAAGUGCACAUUGUAAUACACCUGUAAGAUAUAUUUUUAUCAUUUUAAUCAUGUUCCUUUAAGCUGUGUCUUUUCCUCUGCCCACCCCCUCCAGCAAAGAUUGCAAGGUGUAGUGGAGAUAUCAAGAGAAAUUUUCUCAAUGGAUAGAGUUCUGUGUUUCAGAAGAAUUACAUCUGUGUUUGCCAGGAUUUCAUUAGCCAAAAGCUGUAGUACAUACUGAACAUAGUGAGAUAGCAAAGCAGUGCAUGCACAAUGAUAGGGCUGUUGUGUGAGUAAAAGCAUGGCAACACAUGUCAGUCCUCAUCAGCAAACUAUGUGGCUUGGUUCUGUGGACCACUGGAUUUGAACUAUGUCACCUCUUUCUCAAACACCUUUCUGGAGUGGUGUUUUGUCCUGAGUUGGGUGGAAGAAAUGUCCAAGUUCCUCUGUGUCCGUGUUCUCACUGCAAGAUAUUCUACUGGGUUCUUGGCUCCUGCAUCUUUGUAAAGGUGCUGUCUUUUCAGCAAUGGUGUCUCUUGUUAGUGACUGCUGCUGGAACAGCUGCACUCCAACCUCCGCAAUAAAGACUUUAUUUUUUUGUGCAUGCUCCUGACUUGUCUGCCUGUAAUUAAAAUUGAGCAAGCAGAACAUCAACGUAAGUCUAUGAAUGCCAGCACUGCAGUAUUCAUUUCCCUAUGUGAGGUAAAACAAUAGUUUUGAAUAUGUGAAUCUUCUCCUGUGGUUUGCUUGACAUGGCAUCAGUAUCGGUUUGCUUUUCUGCUGUCUCCUAAUGUGAUUCUGUUCCAUAUGAAGCUAUGGGCUCUGAUCUGAAGAGUAUGGCCCCAGCAGCAGGAAUCUGCAAGACCAGGUAAGGAAUAAACCCCCCAAAUUCUCUUCCUUUCUUCCUUUUCCUCUUUCAUGUGUCUCUUGCCUACCCUCACUAAGAUGAGCAAUGUGCUAUUUCAUGUUGUGCUAUUCUAAUUCUUUAGCUCUUAUAUCACCCACAUCACUACGGUGUCUAACUGUCAGAUGCAAUUUUGCAGGGAGAAGAUUAAAAAAAUGUGAAGUAGAGAAACAGUCCUUCUAGUUGAUAUUCCUCUGGUGAUGGGGGAGAACUUGUUAGCAUUUAAUUUUUGAAGAGCAGUUGGUGUAAAGGUUUUGGGAGGAAUUUUCUAAAUACUUUACUUGAUAAAGCAGCAAUUAUGUGAAGAUGAGAAUGAACAAUGACUGCAGAGAUGACAGACUUUGAUUUCUGACUAAGAAACCCCGCUCAGCAGGCCUGAGUCUUCUAACAUUAAAAAGAGAAUGGCAUCAAUGAAGCAUUGAAAUACAUCUCUCAGGGAGUGGUAGGUACUUGGUAAUGGCCAUCUGCCAAGCACUGCAGAUUAGGAGAUACAUUUUGUUGUUUUCUGAUGUUAGAACAGAAAAGUGUUUUAGUGAACAAGGUUAUAGGAAAAGACAUUCCAGGUAGUGAGCUCAUAAUCUGAUAGAUAAGGAAAUAAAAAGACACGUGGAAGAGCUACUCAUCUAUCAAUUAGUAUGUACAGCAGUCGCUACUUGGCUGUGCAGACAGAGUUUGGGGUAAAUCAGCAUGAGAAAAUGAGAAUGAUUGUGGCAUGAAGCCUCCAAAAAUGGUGUGGAGGUUCUUGGUUAUUUUUCAGAGGAGGAAGCGAGAUUCAGUGAUUUGGCAGUGAGUAGGCAACAAGAAUAAUACAAUUGUAAUUCAAGAUACUCAAUGCCAUUCCCAAAAGCUUUUCUCUUGUUAUAGUAUUCCAGACAAUAUGGACUGAGAAUGAAAACAUCUUUCCUGGCAUUACAAAACUCUUGAUACUAUCAGUAGCAAAUAUAAUACUUCAGGAGCACCUAGAAAGCAUGAGUGAACUUUGUUCUUAGCUGUGUACUUAUGUGCAAGUCUUCACAAGAACAUCUAGUCCUGAUACACUGCACCAAUUGCUUCUGAACUCAGGGUAACAGGCUGAAAUAGAAUAGGAUACAGAAUGUACCUGUGCAGCACGGGAAGAAAUGUAGCAAACUUAACAUGAUAUUGAAAAUACUUUUAUCACUGUUUGUACAUCUAGUUCUCCUUCCUUAAACUUGUAGUUAGAAAACUGAUUAAAUACGAUGACUUCUGAUUCAGACUGAAGGCACUGCAAAGGGAAAACAACAUACAUGAAAAGUGGUAUUAAUUUUUCAGGUUGUAAUAAACUCACUGGCAGACAGAUGCAAAAGACAAUGAUGAAGAAUUAUUAUAAGCUCAACUUAUAUCUCAUAUCUGAUGCCAAGUAAAAACAAAGAAAGCAAUAACUCUGACGCUAAACUAAACUGGGUUAGAAUAUAAGGAAAUGAGGGUUUCUCUCUACCCGGCCCACAAGUCUGUAAUUGGAGUUUGUACCUGAAAAGUAAGUAGAAGGGUGUAUAUGAGGUAGUAUAUGUGUUUAUAAAACUGAAAAAACUCUAAGGAAGGAAGAAACUCUAAGGAAGUGUACAGUAAAGCAAGAGCUGACGGUUGAACAGAGUCAGACUUGCCUGCACAUGGAUAAAAACAAAUAUUUGGAUGAUGGUACUGCAGCUUGUGUAUUAUUAAACAUGCCUACUAUUAAGGAAAAAAAAAAAAUCCCUCUUCCAUGGUAAAAGAAUCUGCUCUUCCCAGGGAAUCCAGCUGAGUUUACCUCAAGGUCUUCCUUGAACCUUGUUAGGGCAGAUUUUUCUGUUACCAUUGUUUGCAGUGAGCAUGGGACAUUAUGUUGUAGAGGGGGUAGACAGCUCCUUUGAAGCCUUCUUUUUGUUGUUUUUGGGCUUGAGGGGUUGCUUUGAAGACUGGUGCUGAGUACGUUUUCCAGCACGUACCCUUGUGAGCUGCAUUGAUCUGAGUUAGUCUUGCCUGGUCUGUAUGAAUGUCAACAACUUAAGAAAAGAAUGAAUCAAUUCUUUUGGCCCUCAGUUGUCUGCACAAGGGCAGGGAACUGCAGGGGUGCCUCCUAUGGGAUAGAGGAUACUGUGCAAGAGGGAGGAUUUACGGCAACAGAGUAGUACUUGUAUAUUCUCUGCCUUGUGGUUAGGGGGGAGCUUUUGUGCAGGUGACAAAUGGCAAGAGGGCUGAGUAACAGGAAGGAACAUUCCUGAUGUCUGAGAGUCCGCUUGUCCAUGGCUGGGAAAAUUGAUACAUGUCCAUAGCGUGUCUCAUGUCAAAUUCCCUGUGUGUCCUCGAGCCAUGACAGCACACCAGUGGGUUGAGGGCACUCUACGAGGUGCUCAUCCAAGGAGGAUGGUCAUGAGUUCCAUUGGGCACUUGUGCUCACUCCCUGGGGGAGGUCUGGCACACAGCUGGGCCCCUGAGCAGCCUGACAAUGCUGACCUUGGCCACCCUUGCUGGCUUACUUCCCACCAUAGCUGGAGACCUCCAGGUUUUGUAGUUCAUACAAAUAUAGCAGAGAGGGCACUAAAACAAUUUCUCUUGCCCUUCUGUAAUUUCCAUAAUUCAUCUGUCCCACAUUCAGCCCAAAUAUCAGGUGUGGUGGGAAGCACGGAACUGUAACCAUAGAAUUAUUUCCUUCUGCCAUUAAAAGAAAUUUUAAUGCACAGCAAGCUCCACUGAAGUGCAAGUGAAGGGCCCAUUUCAUAAAAGAUUUAGGAACCAUCUCAGUGCAUACUUUUGAUUUGUACAGCAGGGAGCUUGCACUUGGGAGGAAAAAGGAGAGGGGGAGAGAAGGAAUUUGCUUUAAAUGACAGCUUUUUUUCUUACUCAUUUUGCAUUCAAAAGCCCAAAUAUAUUUUCUCUCUCUCUACCCUUGAUUUAUGACCUUAUAAAAAUGAGAUAGAAUCAACCUAAGAAGAAACAAAGGUUAGGUCUUCCCAGAGCCUGAAGCCUUUGUAUAAGUCCCUGAAGAACAGCUGUGCAAAUUACAUUUGCUGCUAUCAGACCAAGUGGAGGCAGAGAGCAGUUUCUUUAACGAGAGCUGGACAAGAUUCCAUUUUAUUUUGUCAUUUUGAAUGCGGGUUUGAUUCACAGCCUUUAAUGUUACCUUGCUAAAAAUGGCUAUUGCAGGAGAACUCACAUCAAUGUGAUAUCAGUACAGGCAGAAAGAGAAACAUCCUGUUUAUGUGAAUGUCCCUAACAAAAAGAGUCAAGAUCUAAGCAGAUAGAAGAGAAUGCCAGUAACCAUGAAACAAGCUAUGCGCCAGAUGUUAUGCUGCUUAGAGCAGCAGUACAAGGAGCUGAUCAGAUACCAUGUUGAUAAGCAUAGCUCAUAACCUGUAUAGAAGGGGAACACAGAUGACAUUUGCAUGAUUAAAGAAUUGUGUAGUAGUUCUACAUUAAAUCAUAAAUGAUUUCAUUUUACUUGAUUGUAUGAUUUAAAAGGUUAUGACCUAAGGCUUUCAUUUUCCUUUCUUUAUACACUUAUGUGAAGUAUAUCAGAGUAGAAAUUAAUUUUACUACAUAAAUAGUCACAGAGAUGUUGAAAGGGACUUCUGAAAGUUUCCUGAUCUGAUCUGCUCAGAGUGGGGCUAGCUUCAAUGUUACAUCGGGUUGUUUACAGCUUUCUCUAAUUAAUUUUGAACAUCUCUAUGGAGAUAGCUUUUUAUUUUUCCUGUACAACCUUAUCCAUUGCUUAACCAUCAUUAUAGUGAAGUUGUUUUUCAUUCAUUCAGUCAAAAUUUCCCUUGUCAAUGCUUGCGCCUGUUGCUCUUAUCCCUUCAGCAUUCAUGCUCUUCUUCCCUUGCCAGCAUUCAUAUUCCUAUUCAUAACCAGAUGCCACUUAGACUGGCUGUUGAGUGUUGUCUUUUGAACCCAAUGAUCCAGCUUCACAUCCGCCAUUUGUAUUCUAAUUCACCAGCCUGUAACUUCUCAGUUUGGAUACAAGGAUACUCUGGGAAUCCACGUCAAAACUCAAUUUGAACAACAUCCAUGUAUGCGCAGAAUGUCCAAACAUCCGUUUUACUUGUUUGUUUUUUUUCAGUCAGCAUGGUCUGAUGUUUUCGUCAUUGUCAGAGGUGAGAUUUCUCUUUCAUUUCUGCUAAUUCAGAACUAGGAGUAAAUUCUACUGCUGCUCUUUUCCUCUGUGAUGGAGAUAACUUGGAGGAAGAUAUUCAGGAUUUUCAUAUGGUAACCAGCUCUCUGAGUAAUGAUCAAAUUCUGAUUAUUCAGACUGGUUUCACCUUUGAGACUCCUUGGACCAUAGUUCUUUUUUAUAAAGAGUAAUGCAAGUUUAUUUUUGUUGCUUAAAUCUCCUUUGGAUUGUGAGACAACUUUGAGGAAGCGGAGUGUGAGAAAGACUAAAACCUGAAGAGAAAGAACUGAAGCCAAGACCAGUAAAAGUACACCACUGUGGAUUCCUACAGGGAUAAGACCUGCAUUGUUGCAGCAUUAAAAUUCUAGGAAUCUGCUGAGAUCUGAGGUGGACUACAUGCUCCUAAGACUCACAUUCCAUGACAGGCUUCAUCUCAUAAAAAUGAAUGGUGUCUCUUUAUGGCCUGGCAUGUACCAACAGAAGAUUCUAAGUUACACCAGUGGGACAAUUAAGCCUGCCCUAAGAUGUGAAGUUUUCCUGCAAAAGGUGCCUCGUACCAGCUUGUUGAAACACCAUGGGAAGGCACACCAACCACUUAUUUAUUCUCUCCAUUUCUAAGAGGUUGGAAGAACCAAACAAUGCUAGAAACAGAACCACUGCAAGCCAGUAAGAGUAAUUUACUGCUCUGUCAUUACCAGCAAGCUACUUAUACAUUAACAAAACAUCAAGCCAGUCUUCCUGAAACAGACACAGGUUUGCACAAAUUGGGAAGCAGAAACUCUAACAUCUACUGAAAUAUUUUUCUGUUUGCUUAUUUUUUUCUUCAUGCCUGUUAGGGUUCUUUAGGAGUACUGCUGAGGACAGUGUUUAGAGAUAAGCAUUUGGUUGUAAACAUCUGCCUGUGUCGAUGAGGCCACAUAUAUGUUAAUUUCUCUUAAUUAUUAUCUUAAAGGUUUGAGUGUUAAUUGUGAUGUGUCUUGCUGGGCUAGCUUUCAAGUUAUAUUCUUCACAAAUUGUGUUGCAAAUGAGUAAAAAUGUUAGAAGAAAAGGGAAGAAUUACUAUUGUCUAACCACAACAGUCUAGGCAGACUGCCAUAAGGUUAUUGAAGCUCUAAUUCAAAAAUUAGACUCAGCUACAAAUGUAUUGGUUUAGCCAAGUCCUCCUGUUGGCAGAAUGUCUGUCUUAAAUUUGCUUUGAUACAUGCUGUUGUUUGUGUGGUUAGCUAAAUACAUCAUUAGAUAGCCCAGGAAUUGCUUGUCCAUAAGUUAAUAAGUUUAACAUCAACUUAGUCAAUUAGGCUAAUUUGGUUUAGUGCAUUGUUAGAAAUAGCUUAACCUUUAUAUGACUUCAUAAUUUUAUUUCAUUAAAGUUACAGAUAUAACAUUGUUUACAAUCGUAGUGUAUCCAAGGCUCAGAAAACACUGCAAAUGUUUCACAGUCAGAGUACAAAAAAGGUCUUUUUUUCCAGGGCUUCAGUGAGAAAUAUCAGUAUUUUCUCAUGGGCAAAGAAAAUUUAUCUUACGUUUUUCUUGUGCAUAGGUCCAGAAGAAUGCUAUGCAUUUACUGCUCUGGCUGGUUUUUGCAUGGCUGCUGAUGUGGUUUGUCAGGGACCUGGCCUGUAGGUGUCCUGUCAUAUGGUUCUGGGUGCUCCCAGUUGACCUUUGCACAUUCCAGGCAGCUAAAUACAUGCACGCCCCAGAGCUAGUACUGUUCUGGCAUAGAAGCACACCUGACAAGAUCAAAAAGCAUAAUAUCUUCAGCCUCUGCAGCUGACGCUCUCAGUGACACCCACUCCCCUGUACAAGUAAACAUCCAUAACCCUCAUGGAUGGUCCCUCUCCACUGGGCCAAGCACACUGGUUUGCCUUUCUUUGACUCAUACUGUCUUUCAGAUGUAUCCAGGGUGUUGUAAAACUGAAGAGGCUGAAAAGGUAGGGAGGACAAAGCCCAAUUCUACCUUUCUCCGGGUACUCUGGAUAUCUCAGCAAUGAGAGAGAUGUUCUUGUCACUCACCCAUCUUUCUCCAUCCCUGCUGUCUACUACUUCCUUGAUCAGAUCAUCGCAAAAAUAAUUGAAGGUUUCCUUUGUUUUCUAAUGAAAAAAUAUUAUCCCUUAAGGGCAGCUGAACAGUCAGAGCUUAUGGGGGAAUCCUAGGAGGGCUACUGGAUAGAGAUUUGAGGGCUCAUCAGAGCAGAAUGCUGGACACGAAGUGCCCUUGUGUGGGUCCAUUGAAAAGCCACUUAACAAACCGCAGGCACAUAUUCACCUUGUGAGCACUUGGUCUCCUGGAGGUCACACUGCCUGUGAAUGUUUGCUACUAGCUGCUGUGCAGCAGCACUGCCAGAUGCAGGGGACACAAUCUGUUCCUGACCUUUUGCUGUGGACAAAUGCAAAACGAGGACUGCUCCUACCUUGGCUCUGACUCCUGGACAUCACACAUGUGACCUUAAAGCUACUGCACACAUUGUGGACCUGCAGACUCACUAGAGCAAAGCCUCCAAAUGGCAAAUGAAAAAGCCAUCUGGACUUGUCCGUGGCCCUGUUAACUCUGAUGGAGCUACCUUGGCUGUAGUUAACCACCUCUAACAGGAGGAAAUGUUAUCUUUAAUAAAACCAGAGGAGCUUAUCAAGUCACUGAGCAAACCUAUAGCAUCCCUUGUACAGGCAGAGAUUCUUCUGAAGCCCCAUCAGAAUUCCUGGUCCAGUCAUCUGCCUCACUCUCUCUGUUCGACAGCUGUGCUGCUCUUAUUCAGCAGGAAAAAGCAAAGAUGUUGAAAAGAAAACAAAAAACAGAACACGAUGCAAACAAACCAAAUGAAAGAAAAUGUUUUAAAGCAUUUCAUUACUCACAAGACGGGAGAUGGUCAUGUGUUUCAAACCGUAAUAUUAUUUCUGGCAACCAGUCUCUUGAUAUCUUCUUGUUGAUUUUUCCAACCUCUCAAGAAACUGGAAUGAAAAUAUUUUACUGAUGUUACCAUCCUUGGGAACAGUUUGUCAACACUGACCCAGGUUAACGCUGCAAACUCAAAAUAUUUGGCACGUGCUUUUGUAUUUUUCCUUCGUCAAAGAGAUUAUGUGGGGUGAAGGUCUGUUCACAUGAAAGCAGUGAGAGAUACUGGCAGCGUACUUAGCAAAACAAGAGGGGCCCUUUUCUAAAUACAUGUGCUUAUAUGCAAAUAUCCUUUUGCAGAUGAUAAUAUAAUAAUGAAAAAGUCAUUACUUGCAUAUUAAGGUAGCUGUGUGGAUAUUGUGGGGAUGUAUAUACUGUAGAAACAAGGAUGUGUACAUCACAGUUCUGUAGCAGUUCUGUGACUGGGAGAAUCAAUGGAGCUUGAUUUUCUAUGGAUUUGUGCCCUGAUGUUAUGACCCUAUCCAGAUUUUCCACUGUGUCAUAUGAGAUGCUGCACUUUUUACCUCAGAGAGACACUAACAAUUGCUCCUAGCUGACUGCCUGGUUUCAGAAUACUUUUAAGGAUGUAAGAGGGCUGGAUUUUUAUACCUUUGCCAAAUGCGUUUGAUAUAGGCCUAAGCAUUGGAAGAUUCAUAUAGAGGUCUCAGAUGUACAAAAAGACAGCACAGUGACCUAAACUCAAUUUCUGUAAAAUCAAGAUCUGCAUCCUCACAUUUAUAACUAUGGAAAGGAAAAACAAACAUGAAAUAAAGCAGAAAACAUGAUUUUAAA